CCGGUCCCAUUCCGAACCCGGAAGCUAAGCCCACCUGCGCCGAUGGUACUGCCCGGGAAGCUGGGUGGGAGAGUAGGUCACCGCCGGAC
This 89-nucleotide ribosomal RNA is filed under the name Quadrisphaera granulorum. The record is from RNAcentral. Lineage: Bacteria; Bacillati; Actinomycetota; Actinomycetes; Kineosporiales; Kineosporiaceae.